Molecule: ribosomal RNA, 253 nt
Filed under: uncultured bacterium
Lineage: Bacteria
Description: partial 16S ribosomal RNA
Rfam family: Bacterial small subunit ribosomal RNA
Source: RNAcentral
UACGUAGGGAGCAAGCGUUGUCCGGAAUCAUUGGGCGUAAAGCGCGCGUAGGCGGCCUCAUAAGUCCGUUGUGAAAGUCAAAGGCUCAACCUUUGAAAGCCGAUGGAUACUGUGAGGCUAGAGUCCGGAAGAGGCGAGUGGAAUUCCUGGUGUAGCGGUGGAAUGCGCAGAGAUCCGGAGGAACACCAGUGGCGAAGGCGGCUCGCUGGGCUCUACCUGACGCUGAGGCGCGAAAGCGUGGGGAGCGAACCGG